Long non-coding RNA from Salvelinus namaycush (lake trout), 1636 nucleotides. RefSeq lists it as uncharacterized. The record is from RefSeq and is a predicted model, not a curated record. NCBI's taxonomy places the organism in Eukaryota, Metazoa, Chordata, Actinopteri, Salmoniformes, Salmonidae. The transcript is spliced from 4 exons.
UCUUAUUCAUUAGACACCAAACAGGCGAAAACAGAAUGAAACAGGGAGGGACUAACUGAGAUAUAAACAUUUGUUUUCUGUAGCAAAACGUUUUGGUGCGUGAAUGGUAGAAAGUUAACUUACCAUCUGUGUGGCAAACCCAGGACGGCUGGGACAAGGAGGUGAACUUCAUUCUGACCAUCAGUUCUCCUGCUGUAUCCUGCUCUACUGCACUCCCUUCUGGACUCUCAGGCUAUUGACCGAGAGAGAAAUAAGAGUGAGAUAGACAGAGGACAGAGGAGACAUACCAGCAAGUUGAACAAAACUUUUCCCCAAAAAUAUUGUUUUAUAAAGAUAAAGGGUAUUGUGUGAACGUUGCUUCAUGGUCAGCAGUUAUACCCUACCUUUGGGCACAGGGGGUACCAGUUGGAGCCCUGGGUGGUGCUGUCCUCAAAUAUACAGCCCUCCAGCGGGACGAGGACCUCUCCCAGAAACACCUUCUUCUUCAGGGUCGCAGAGUGCCACACAGACACCUGCAGAGUACUCCUGGACAACAAGGGGCUCUCCAUCUGGCACUGUGCAUCAGGGAAUACAACACGUAGGGCACUCAACUCACCCUCUUUCCCCAUGAGUACUCUGAACCCAGGGAAAGGUCCUCAUCCGCCCCUGACGAGGAACUGCUCUGGUCAUCAUUCCGGCUCUUCUUGAACAGAGAGGCUUUUCCAGCCAGUGCUCUGUCCCCGCCUGUUGUCCACUGUAAGAAGAUCCUGUUCCACUCGUACAUCCUGUUGCGAGCUGGAGAACCCUGCAACCCGAACGGUGCGGUUUCCUUAACACCGACGACUGAGCGUAAGGAUAUCUUAUCGACAAAUUACAUUAAGGUUUGCGAUAACGCUCAGAGGAAAUUAGUCACUGUUUUGACUUUCUUGGAUCCUAGUUCUCAUUAAGAUGUACAUAAAAUUACUUCACAUUGAAAGAUCAUAGUUUUGUUUUUUUACAGAGACCUUGGCUGCGUUUCAAAAUCAUAAAAGACACACCAUAGUCCACUUACCCUCGCCUUAUGCCCUUGGGGGAAUCCCUGUAGCCAUAUUUGUCGUCGGUCCAAAUGAUUAGCCAAGCAAGGGAAGUUUGCAACGUAAACUUCUGCGACAGAAGUUUCCUGGACUCGAACCCAGGAUUUCUAGUGGCACAGCUAGCACAGUGAUGCAGUGCCUUAGACCACUGCACCACUCGGGAGGCCCAGGGUGUGUCUUUUAAGUGUUUGGAAUGCAGCCCUUUUCUUCGUAAAUACCAAAAUGGCUCAAAAGAGUCACUUACUUCUCAUGUGGCUGGUGAGGGAAACCAUCAGGUCCUCCAUAGACUUGGUUAAUGGUUUUUUAAAGGAAUUCUUCAGUCCCUAGAGAUGAUUGACAAUACAUCUGACAGACCAAGUCAUAAUUGUGGUUCAUGAAACUGUGAAGGAGUGAGCCCUUCACAACCUAUUUAUUGGAUAAAAUAAGUUGUAUGCAGAAUCCCUUUCAUUUUAACAAUUCAUAAUUCCAGGCAAUACUAUAGCUGCAAUGUCAAUUGCACCUCUUGGAUUUUUUGGACAUAAUGUUCAAAUCAUCUAUAAGUGACUUUGUUGAGCUUCAAUCAAUUUGAGAUACUUUUGGAUGAU